AACGAACGCUGGCGGCAUGCCUAACACAUGCAAGUCGAACGAGACCUUCGGGUCUAGUGGCGCACGGGUGCGUAACGCGUGGGAACCUGCCCUUAGGUUCGGAAUAACUCCCCGAAAGGGGUGCUAAUACCGGAUAAUGUCCUCGGACCAAAGAUUUAUCGCCUUUGGAUGGGCCCGCGUUGGAUUAGCUAGUUGGUAGGGUAAAAGCCUACCAAGGCGACGAUCCUUAGCUGGUCUGAGAGGAUGAUCAGCCACACUGGGACUGAGACACGGCCCAGACUCCUACGGGAGGCAGCAGUGGGGAAUAUUGGACAAUGGGCGAAAGCCUGAUCCAGCAAUGCCGCGUGAGUGAUGAAGGCCUUAGGGUUGUAAAGCUCUUUUGCCCGGGAUGAUAAUGACAGUACCGGGAGAAUAAGCUCCGGCUAACUCCGUG
RNAcentral lists this ribosomal RNA (433 nucleotides) under uncultured bacterium. RNAcentral describes it as "partial 16S ribosomal RNA". It matches the Rfam family "Bacterial small subunit ribosomal RNA", at positions 29 to 507 of the family's 1533-position model. The record is from RNAcentral.